RNAcentral lists this ribosomal RNA (387 nucleotides) under uncultured bacterium. Its description in RNAcentral is "bacterial SSU rRNA". It matches the Rfam family "Bacterial small subunit ribosomal RNA", at positions 30 to 421 of the family's 1533-position model. The record is from RNAcentral.
AUUGAACGCUGGCGGCAGGCCUAAUACAUGCAAGUCGAACGGUAACAUAAAAGAAGCUUGCUUCUUUUGAUGACGAGUGGCGGACGGGUGAGUAAUAUUUGGGAAACUACCUGAUAGAGGGGGACAACAGUUGGAAACGACUGCUAAUACCGCAUAAAGCCUGGGGGUGAAAGCAGCAAUGCGCUAUCAGAUGUGCCCAAACGGGAUUAGCUAGUAGGUGAGGUAAAGGCUCACCUAGGCGACGAUCUCUAGCUGGUCUGAGAGGAUGAUCAGCCACAUUGGGACUGAGACACGGCCCAGACUCCUACGGGAGGCAGCAGUAGGGAAUAUUGCACAAUGGAGGAAACUCUGAUGCAGCCAUGCCGCGUGUGUGAAGAAGGCCUUGGG